Molecule: long non-coding RNA, 779 nt
Organism: Melitaea cinxia (Glanville fritillary)
Lineage: Eukaryota; Metazoa; Arthropoda; Insecta; Lepidoptera; Nymphalidae
Exons: 2
Source: RefSeq, a predicted model, not a curated record
AAAACCAUCUAGAAAAAUCUAGAAUACAUUUAGAAAUCGAAUGCCGUUGGUUGCAGGUCGAAAAAAUAAUUAUUUUCGGAGAUAUUGAAUAUUUUGUGGAGCGGUGCAGCGCUCCGUGACGCUCGGGGUCCCGCGCCGCCUCAGCCAGGUGCAGGUCUCAACCGGUCGGCUAGUAUUCUUUUGUCUCCCUUCACAAAAACCGACUAUGGUCAUAAAUUUCGUUUCGAAAUAAGAUAUAGGUGGCAAUAGUUGAGAAAUUGUCAAGGCAGGUAUAGAGAUAGCGUCACAGCGACAGUUUACGAAUAGAAACCACGCUAUUAUAUAACCAGUGUCAGUCCGGGGAAAAAAAAUUCAUCGAUAUUGCCACUGAUAUCUCGGUAUUAUUAUUCAACGAUGGCCUGAGAAGCCUCAUGAAAGUUUUGGAGACGUUGGGGGUAACCAUCGGCCCAAAUUGUUUCAAUUUCUGCGUUGAAACCGACGCAGCACGGAUCGAGCAGGCGGAGCGCUCGCUCACGGAUGCUGCAAAAGAGGCAAGGAGAGCCUCUACAAGUUCGAGAAAAGUUGCUGGAGACCGUGAUUUGCUUCUUGAAGGCCAGCUAUAUGGUGCCGGAAUCGCUGACUAGAUCAACUUUGAAGACAGUUCUGCUGCGUGCCGCGAAUCACUGCAGAAGCAACGGCACCUGACGUGGGAGCUUCCCCAGCGCCACCAUGGGGCGUGAAAAUUUUAAAAAAAUUUGUUAUGUAUCUUUAAUAAACAACGAACAAAACAAAAAAAAAAA